UACGUAGGUGGCGAGCGUUGUCCGGAUUUACUGGGCGUAAAGAGCGCGCAGGCGGUCGAUCAAGUCGGAUGUGAAAGCCCCCGGCUCAACUGGGGAGGGUCAUUCGAUACUGGUCGACUCGAAGGCAGGAGAGGGAAGCGGAAUUCCCGGUGUAGUGGUGAAAUGCGUAGAUAUCAGGAGGAACACCAGUGGCGAAGGCGGCUUUCUGGACGGUAACUGACGCUGAGACGCGAAAGCGUGGGGAGCAAACAGG
This 253-nucleotide ribosomal RNA is filed under the name uncultured bacterium. RNAcentral describes it as "partial 16S ribosomal RNA". It matches the Rfam family "Bacterial small subunit ribosomal RNA", at positions 524 to 776 of the family's 1533-position model. The record is from RNAcentral.